Molecule: ribosomal RNA, 450 nt
Filed under: uncultured bacterium
Lineage: Bacteria
Description: partial 16S ribosomal RNA
Rfam family: Bacterial small subunit ribosomal RNA
Source: RNAcentral
GUGGGGAAUCUUCCGCAAUGGACGAAAGUCUGACGGAGCAACGCCGCGUGAGUGAUGAAGGUCUUCGGAUUGUAAAGCUCUGUUAAUCGGGACGAAAGAGCCUAGUGUGAAUAAUGCUAGGAAGUGACGGUACCGGAAUAGAAAGCCACGGCUAACUACGUGCCAGCAGCCGCGGUAAUACGUAGGUGGCAAGCGUUGUCCGGAAUUAUUGGGCGUAAAGCGCGCGCAGGCGGAUCUGCCAGUCUGUCUUAAAAGUUCGGGGCAUAACCCCGUGAUGGGAUGGAAACUACAGAGCUAGAGUAUCGGAGAGGAAAGUGGAAUUCCUAGUGUAGCGGUGAAAUGCGUAGAUAUUAGGAAGAACACCAGUGGCGAAGGCGACUUUCUGGACGAAAACUGACGCUGAGGCGCGAAAGCCAGGGGAGCGAACGGGAUUAGAAACCCGGGUAGUCC